CUCCUCGCUAUGGCCUCAGGC
Molecule: microRNA, 21 nt
Filed under: Cordylochernes scorpioides
Lineage: Eukaryota; Metazoa; Arthropoda; Arachnida; Pseudoscorpiones; Chernetidae
Source: RNAcentral